AAAUAAUUAUAAUGGUUAUAUUGCAGAUGGCAAAACCAACUUUGUGCUACACAAAUUAGAUGCAGUAGAUGAGGCAAACUAUGGAUAUAACUACAGCUUAGUAGGAGGAACAGGGUUGGAUGAAAGUUUAGAGAAAGUUGAAUUCGAGACAAAUAUUGUUGCUGGGUCUGAUGGUGGAUCCAUUGUUAAGAUUUCAGUGAAAUAUCACACCAAAGGUGAUGCAGUUCUAUCUGAUGCAGUACGUGAGGAGACUAAGGCCAAAGGAACUGGUCUUAUCAAGGCUAUUGAGGGCUACGUCUUGGCAAACCCUAAUUACUAGCCAAUUAAACCCUAUUGAGGACUUUAAUUUGGGUUGUGUUGUUUUAUGCGAAUAAUAAUUAAAGUUUAUGAUGUAGUUGAAUGUGUGUUGAGUAUACAUCAAGGUCUUUGGUUCGUACAUGUGUGUUGGCUAUGUUGGAUGUUGUGAGGUUUGAGUGUUAUUUUGGGUGUUUAAAAACAAAAACCUAUGUUGUGUUGGUGAUAAGGUUUUGCACCAUUUGUAUUCUGCAAUAAAUAAUGCAAAAGAAUUUUAUAGCACUUUCGGUUAUUUGAAUUUAAUUUAGGAUCACAUCAAACUAACAGUGCAUAUGACUUUCGAUUGGUAAUUUUAACCAAAGCUGUCUACAAUUAUUUAAAUAGUUUGGUUGAGUUUUGUCUUGAAUUGAUUUGAGCAAUUUAAAGUAAGUGAAUCAUAUUUUGAAAGAGUCAUCAUGACAAAUUUGAUUUUUAAAACAAAACCCCCAGUGUGUAAAAUAAGCAUGAUGAUGAGGCGGGUGAUGAUGAGUUUUACCUUCCCCAUCCUUAUACCCUACUCUCAUAUACUUACCUGCCACUUUACCUAUAUCUAAUGAGGGUGAGAAGUCGAACCCCAUCACUGUCUCCGACGGGUUUAGGUAUCCCCGCGUCAUCUCCGUUGUGGAUAAUUUUUUUUAAUGAAAAAAGUGUUUUUCUACUUCAGGCGCAAUGUUGUAAUACAUUAUCCUACAAAGAGAUGAUGACGAUCGAUAACUACGUUGAUGGAGAAGUGAGAGACCGAGAUUGAGAAGUGAGAAUCAUCUGAGAGACUAAGACUCUGACUAUGUGAGGAGAAUAAAGAGAACUCUGAGAAGUGAGUGUCAUCUGAGAGACUAAGUUUUGAUUGUGUGAGUGAAAUGAUUUAGGGUUUGAGUUUCUAUUUAUAUAAAAUGGAUAAUAAAUUGAUUUUCUACAUGUGGGGCGGGUUUGAGUGUGGGUUCGGGGUGAAUACAUAUAUCCUCGUUACCUAUCCAGUAUCCAUGUUUUGAAUCAUGGAAAAUUCAAACUCAUACCCAAAUCCAAUAAAAGCAGAGAAAAUCCGUCAAAUUAGAUUUGUUUCAAAUGGGUACCCGCAGAUAUGCAUUUUGUUGUCUUACCUCAAAAUCACUAUUUAGUAUAGAAAAGUUAACUUGUAACUAAUGUACAACUUAAAGUUAAGAAGUUAAAUGCAAAAUUAUAUUUAGAAAUUGCGCAUUUCUUAUCCUAAAGUUUCUUCUUUUUCAAGGGUAAUUCCUUGAGAGUUUAAAAACUAAAUUUUAAUUCAAUACAAAAAUUUUGUUUUGAUUUCAUUUUUAGAUCGUUAAUUUGUGUCCUUGGUAUACAAAUUAACCUAACUCAUUGAGUAUGUGUUUGUUUUUUCUUAAAAAGAGUAUGUGUUUAGCUGUAAAAUAACAUUAAACAUGAGUCGUCCAACCUGACACUCUAAUUAGUAGCUUCUGAACCUCAUGAUUAAAUGGUAACUCACAUUGGCUGUGAACUAACUCUAUCCCAAAUUGGUGCUUAAUACGCUAAUUUAGGGAUAUUUGUGGUGCAGUUUGAAUUAGUUUUGAUGCAAAUAGUCAUCAUAUUUAAAAUAAAAAUCGCAUGCGGAAAAUAUAGGGUAAAAUAUAACGUUUAAUGGAAAAUAUAGCAUGAAUAUAUAUUAAAAAAUAAUAUUACAGAAUAAAAAUUAUCAAUUAUAUUCUAAACAUAGGAAGAAGUAAUACUAUACAAUAAAUUAAUGCAAUAUAUAAAAAAAAAUAAAAAAUAAAACCGAGAAGCUAUAUAUUAAUGCAAUACACACACUAAUAAAAUAAUAAAUAAGUAUUAAAAUUUACAAAACAACAUCCAAAAAAAAUCAAUUUUUUUGUUGUUGUUUUUUUUGGAUUAGUGUACGGUUUUAUUUUGGAUGCGUUUGAAUUUGAAUAACCACAUGCCUACUAGGCUAACUGUGUAUAUUAUUUAGGAAAUGUCAUAAAAGGUACUCCCUCAAUCUUAAAUAAUUAUCAUUAUUUAACUUUCAUCCAUAUCAAUGUACAAUUUUAACUAUUAAUAUUCUUAGUUAUUUAUUAAUAAAAGUUGUAAAAAAUUGAUAUUUUAAAAAUAUUCGUUGAGAUAAAUUGAACAAUAUUUUAUUUACUAACAUUUUAUUUACAAAUAUGAUCAAAGUAGAUUAUGUGAAUCGUACGUAUGGUCAAACUAUGACAAUAAUUUUGAAAUAGAUGGAGUAAUUUUGAAAAUAGAAAAGAGAAAUGUUAGCUAGUGCCUUCCGGUGCACUAGCUAUAUGAAAAACGUGUGGAGUAAUUUUGAAACCAAUAUAGAAAAUUGUGUUGAGAAGUAUGAAAAAGUUGUACGUUCAACUUUUUAAAAGUCAAAAAUUUAUUAUUUUUAUAAAAAAAAAAAUCUACUUCUAAUUUUUUUAACUAAUGCUCCAUAAUCAAUAGUUAGCAUGACUGGAUAAAAAAUGACAUAUCAUAUCAUACUAACAAAUGUUCUAAAGUUACAUUGUUAUGGACAUUUGUUAGCAUUUUUUACUUUUAUUAAAAAAAUAGGCAUUUCACACGGUUACUUUUGGCUUUAUCACAUUUUGCGUUCACAUAUCUUUGUAAAUAAAUAUGCCUUAUAUUGAUCAGGAGUAAAUUGGAACACAACUAGCAUCUCUCCAUUUCUCUCUAUCAUCAUGUGUAUAUCACAAUUUUUUGAAGAAGUUAAAGAAAUCAUGUUAAAAAUCAAAUAAAGCUCCUUUAACAUAUGGUGCGUCAAAGCAACCUAAUAAUCCAAACAGCUCACAUUACAACAUGUCGUAACAACCCAACAAAAAAUUAGAAAACUAUCUUUAAGCAAAACAAAGGAUUUUGCCUCGAAAACACGUGAUAUAAUUUUAACCACCAAUAAAUUUGUAGUUUAAUUUUUUCACUCAGAGAUUGAAGUUGAUUACUCUUCUGUUGAAAGAUCCUAACAUUUCUUUCUUUGAAAUGACGCAAAGCACUGAAAAGUCGAAAGAAGUUCUCCUUGGCGAAUCCCUUUUUUCAACUUAAACUCAUUAGUAAGGCUACCAUUCACAAGUACCGAAGUCGUUGCUGUUGAGACACAUUCUAAAAUCCAUUGACUCCAGCGCUAAGGGUAAUUCAGUUUGGUCAUCAAAUCUCCCAAAUACCUCCAAUGAACUGAGUCAUAGGUUUUUUUGAAAUCAACCUUAAAAAGAAUAAGUUCUUUCUUAGAUUUACACGCAUCACCCUUUAACUCAUUGGCUAUCAGAAUUGCAUCUAAAAUUUGUCUACCUUUUACAAAAGCAAACUAAGAUUCUGAAACACCAUUACUAACCACCUUCCUCAAUCUAUUAGCAAGAACUUUUGACAAAAUUUUAUACACCCUCCGUCCCUUAAUGUAGGCACCUAUUGCCUUUUCACAUUUCUUAAGAAAUGUUGUCAGUGUAAUUAAUGUGUUUGUUUUGUGUGUUAAUAAUUAUCCUUGGUUUGUAUGUAUUAAAUUUGACUUUUCAUAUUUCAAGACAAGUUAGUAGUAUUAAUUAGGGAUAUGUUUAGGAAAAAAUUAAUAAACGCAUCUAGUAAUUUGAAAUGGAAUUUAAAUUUAGAGAAAAAAAUAAAAUCAAACGGAAACUUAGAUAUAAGGACGGGGGAGUAUAAGCUACCAACCAAAGAAAUAGGUUGAAAAUAUGCCAACUUCUAAAGACUCUUAGCUUUGGGAAUCGAAGUAAUAAAAGUAUUUAUGUCCUUUGUUAACUUACCAUUGUGAUGAAACUCAACAAACAAAUUCUUUGAUAAAACCAAUAUUAAUCUCAUCUUGCUCAGGACUCUUAUAACUAUCACAAUCUCACACUCAUGCCUCUAUCUCUUCCAACAAAAAAGGUAUAAUAAGAUCAGCCACAUCCUUCAUACUAAUAGUUUUAAAAGAAAGAUCCCCUAACCCAGGUCUGGACUCCAUUGCAACUUUAAAAUUAGAUUGAAAAUGUUGAAAAGCCACACUCCUCGCCCCUUCCACACCCUUAAUCUGAACACCUUUAACAUUAAUAGAAAUAAUCACAGUUGACCCGUCUCCUAGAAGACACCACCCCAUGGAAAAAAAAAAAAAAAACGAAUUAGCACCACCCUUCUUUAACCAAGUCGAUCUAGAUUUUUGCCACUGAAUACUAAAAUGUAAUUUAUAUAAAGCCACAACAUCUGCUAAUAGAAAUCAAAGAGAGAAAUCAACAUAUCAAACAAAACGAAACCGAAGAACCAAUGCAAAUUGAACUAAAUAACCAACCUAAAUCAAACCACCAUUAAUCAAAUCAUCCUUAUCAAAUCCACCAAUCAAUCACAAUACUAACAAUUCCAUCGUGUGAAGAACAAUGAAUUCAAAUGGAGAAAAACUAAUGGAUAUCAAAAUAAAUCCAUAGAGAACAACCGUGACAAUUGCUUAACAAAUAGUAAUUCAACUAAAAAGAAAAGUCCUAAUCCAACAAAAACCAACACAUUAAUAUCCAAGUGCCAUCAGGACUCAACUGAAUCUUUGAAUCAAAAAAAUAAUAGAUAGCUAAAACAAUAAAUCUUAUAGUUUACAAACAAAUCAAAAUGCAAAACAGAUUCCUAAUUUUUUUUUUUUUUUUUUUGAAAAAUUAACAACGGAAUAGCCGUGAAUCAUAUAAGGAGGGUCAAAACAUGCUCUUGAUACCAUGUUAACAAUAUUAGGUUUAGAGCUCUUAUACAUGGAGCAUCGUAGGUGACAUACAAACUUUCACGGUGUGAUGUGAAAUUACUAAAAUACCCCUGUCACAUGGGGGUAUACAUGAGAGGUACAUAAAAAAGGAUGUCUAUCUAUCUUUUUUCAUAGAUUUAAUAAAAAAGGGAGAAUAACACAAAACAACUAGAAUUUUAUAAAAUGUAGAUGACUUAACAUUACAAAAGGUUAACAUAAACCUAAUGGAUUACUAACUUAAUAAUAGUUUAAGUUAAAAACUUUAUUAUCUAACCAAUUUUAUCUACUUCCAAUAUAUCACCUACGAAUUUUCUAUUUUUGAAUCCCGUCUACACUCUGAGUCAUGGAAUACUGCGAGACUAUUUCAUAUUGAUUUUCGUAACCCAAUUCAAGAUAACACAAAGAGGGUUGACCCAAUCACAAUCACCAAUAAAUAAAUGAGCUUUUGUCAAAAAAAGACGACCUGAUCAAUGAGCUAUUUUUCAACAAAAUAAAGUGAGAUUUACGAACAAGCCACAAGGUAUGUCCUACCAAAGUUCUAUAAAUACCAUUCCUCACCAUCUCAUAAACCCACAUCACAAGCGAAAUUAGUUGUAUUCAUAUUAUACAUUUCUCUUUUCAUUUUCUUCUUGUAUAUUGAUCCUUUUUAACUAUCUUGAUAUAUAUCAUGGGUGUUUUUACUUUCAACGAUGAACAUGUCUCAACCGUGGCUCCAGCUAAACUCUACAAAGCUCUUGCAAAAGAUGCUGAUGAAAUAGUCCCAAAGGUGAUUUCUGCUGCCCAAAGUGUUGAAAUUGUUGAAGGAAAUGGUGGACCUGGCACCAUCAAAAAGUUAUCCAUGUCUGAAGGUAAUUCAUUAAGAGCAUUUACUAUAUCCCUGUCAAAAAAAUACAACUUUAUUAAUUAGUAAUUCAAUAGACAUGUUAAGAAAUCAUAUACUCACUUUUAUUUUUGAAUUAGAUUUUGAGUGUUGAAGGAGACCAAUGAUAAUACAUAAACUGAGUCUAUAUAUAAAUAAUAAGCUUCAAGAAACAACUAAUUUCCAUGGAAAAAGAAUAUAUAAGAUACUUCAUGCAAGAUUCAAGAGAACCACUAAACUGGAGACAGGGCCGGCCUAAGGACCAAACAACCUAAACAAGGGUUUUAGGCUUCAAAACUUUUGGUAAAAAAAAAGGUCUUUAAAAAAUUAAUUUGGUCAUAAGUAUAUUAUAUGACAGAUAAAUUACAGACAUUUGAAUAGCUUAACUGAUCAAAAAGGUUUUAAUUACUCAUGGUCAUGAAUUCAAAUUUUGGUCUCCACGCAAUUGCUUUUAUAUAAAUAUUCUAUUAAAAAAAUAAUUUCAAAGGCCACAUUAAAUUUUUUGAUUUAAGCCUCUUAAUCUGUUGGGUCGGCCAUGGCAGGAGAUCCAACUAUUUGUAUAAACUACAGUCGUUGAAAUGUAACUAUUGUGAGAGUGUUGCUUGUUUUCAUUAUAUAUAGUAGUUAUAUAUUCAAAUGAAAUGAAUGAUCAAAUUAACACUAAAAUUUAGUUAAAAUCAUUUCAAAUAUCAAUAUAUUAUUGUCAAGAUUAAAUUAUGUAAUUUUAUAUGAUUUCAACCUAAUGGUAAAGAGUGGUUAUAAUAUAUCCAGAUUAAUUGUAAAUAGACUCGUAUUCAAUAAUUAUAGUAAUUAAGAUCAACUUUUUAAUCAGCCCAAUAAAAUGUGUGGUCUACAACUAUAAGAUUCACACAAUAUUAUAGUAAAAUAGACUUAACAAUCAAGUGAUUAAAUAUAUCCAGUUACAUUAGAAUUGAUCUAUGACAAAAACAAUUUUUAGUCGAACUUUACUUUCAUUUUGAGGGAACCAACUUAUAUAAAUUAUGAUGGUUGUAUUGUAGGUGGCAAAACCGACUAUGUGCUACACAAAUUAGAAGCAAUGGAUGAAGCAAACUUGGGAUACAACUAUAGCAUUGUAGGAGGAACAGGGUUGGAUGAAAGUUUAGAAAAAGUUGAAUUCGAGACAAGUAUUGUGGCUGGCUCUGAUGGUGGAUCCAUUGUUAAGAUUUCAGUGAAAUACCACACCAAAGGUGAUGCAACUCUAUCUGAUGCAGUGCGUGAUGAAACUAAGACCAAAGGAACUGGACUUAUCAAGGCCAUUGAGGGAUACGUUUUGGCAAACCCUAAUUAUUAAGUAAAAUGUAUACUUGGUUGUGUUGUGUCAUACCAAUAAUAAUUGAAGUUUAUGAUAUGGUUGUUUGAUUUAUACAUCACGAUUUCUAGCUUAUACAUGUGUGUGGGCUUUGUUGUUUAAUUACAAAAAUCUAUGUGUUGAUGUUGAGGUUUUGUACCAUCUAUAAUUCUGUAAUAAAUAAUGAAGAAUUUUCUAGCACUUUUCAUUCGGUAUUUUAACUUUAUAUGCCUUGACCAUUAUUGGUACACCAAUUUCCUUUCCUCUUGUUAUCCUUUUUUUUUCUUUCUUUGGAUUUAUUUUUGACUUGUAACACAUAAAAACUCAACUCAUCACUAGCAUGCUUUGAAUUUUACUAUGGCUGAGAAAAAGUAAAAACAUAAUGUGAGUAUGAUAGAGAAAGUUGUCAUAUAAUGGUUAUAUAAAUAUUAUUUCUCUAUCAUAAAUGUAAAGUGGAAGAUAUUGAAUUGAGAGUGAUGAAAUUUGUAUGGGUCUUGUUAACGAGUGCCCCCGAGGGCACUCUUUAAGCAUACUAAAUUAGAAAAUUAUUCUUUAAAAAAUUCAAAUAAUUCAAUUUCCAAUGCAUUGAAUACAUAACUUUUCAUAAAAAGUUACUAUUUAAGACCCUUAAAGAGUGUCCCCAGGGCACUAGUUAACAUUUCUGAAUUAUAGUAUUAAUUAAGAUGUAUAAUUGAAAAAAGAUAGUUAAUUAAUAUUAUAUUAAAAAGUGAAAUUGAUCAUUCAUUUUAGAUCUUUCUUCUUUUUUACAAAUAAAUUACUUAUUGUGGAACAUGAGGAGUAUCAUUUAUGCUCAAACUAAUCAUGCAAACUCUAAUAUAUAUAAACAAUUAUAAAUCAAAUAGACUUCAAUUUGAUAUUCCUUGCACUCGAAUAAUUUGGUAAGAGACAAAUUAAAUAAAGGAAUUUAAGUUUUUAUAAAUAAUCAACAUGUUAUAAGAUACAAUUGUUUGAAAAAGAAGAAUGGUGGUUUGCGGGUUAGGGUCUCUUAGUUAAUCAUCUAUUUCUGUUUCAUGUUUUUUUUUUUAAUAAUUUAUUUCUGUUUCAUGUUAUUUACCAACUUUAUAUUAGUUUUUUUGUAACUUUUUUAGUACAACUUGUGCUGAAAAGAUUUUGGUUAAUGAUAUUCUAUUUUGACAUGCUAAAAAAAAUGAUGAAUGUGAACCCGUUAAAUAAGUAAACGAUAUAGUACAUAGGUUGCAUAUUUUUAAACUUUGCCGUCUUUGAAUUGAAUUCUUGAUGCUUUUGUCCAAGUCAAAUUUCGAUUUUUAAUUCCUUUGCCCAUCUCUUCAUCGGCCAAAACUUCUGAGCUAAUAAGUCAUUGAUCUAUAUCUAUAUAUCUAUCUAAAGAAAAGUCAUUGAGUUGAAAAUAUCAUUUUGAAGAUAUGCUCUACAAUUUAUGGUUUUGAAAAAUAAUACACGCUCUCUAAUAUGGACAGCUUUGUUUUACACACUUAUUAAUCCUACUUAUUAAAGGUGCUACUAGCUAGUAACAGAUGGGAAACUUUUUGUUUCAAGUUUACCAAAUUUAUUUUUGGUGAUAACAUUUCUUGGAACAUAAAGAUGAGAAUUUUAUUCUAAAAUAUUUAGAAAAAAGAUGUUUGCUUAACAUUAUAGUAUUCUCAGAAACCAUAAAAAUAAGGAUUAUAAUAGAUAAUUACACAUGAAUCUAUUCCCAUGUUCAUGGGAACUUUAUUCCCACUAGUUUCUGUGAGAAAUUUUUUCCAUUCCCAUAAACAUUUUAUACCUGCGAAUAAAAUUUAAUAAAUUUGUAACAAACAUAGACAUGCAUAUGUCUAUUGUUUUAUUCCCAAAAAUCUACAUAGAUAACUUGAAAUAAACGUACCCUUAAAUUUAAUUAUUUACUGAAAAGAAAAAUGUGAUAAGGAAUCUGUUUCUACACCUCCAGGAAACACUAUCUCUUUUUCUUUUACGGAUCAAAGCUACAUUAUUUAGUUCCGUAAAUACAAUUUGAAUGGUAAAAAAUUUAAAGAUAUUUGAUUAAUUGGAGUGCGAGUUUGAAUAUAUAAUUCUUCACUUUAAAUGUUUUAAAGUAGAAUUGAUUUUUUUUGUAAAAUUAAUUCUACUCAAAGCUAAAUGUCGAGGCACGAAUAUUGUUCAAUUCACUUUUACUUAAAUAUAAUAAAACAUAUAUUAUUUUACAUUUAAUCAGAAUUAACUGUACAAAAUUAAUUCAUUUAGAAUCAAAUUUUUGUUGUGUAGCAUAAACAAACACACACUAAAUUACGUAGUUUGAUUUCUUUAUUAAAAAAAAGAAAGAGUAAAAUGAUUUCAUAUUUUGUCUUCAUUCCCAUUAGUUUGUUAUUGUCUUUGUAAUAAAAAAAUUAAAAAAAAUAUUUUUUUUCACUACGUAAAAACUUCACGUAGAUCUUUUUAUCAUUAAUUAAUUCGUGCGUGGUUAUGUACGACUGAGUCUCCUUAUUUUAGGAUAACGACUUCAAAUCUUUCAUACAUCAAUCUUCACCAAACUUUAACGGUGUGUUUGGAUGUAAGAUGAAAAUGAAAAGUGAUAAACAGAUGAGAAAGAGUGUGAGAAGAGAGAAAGCGAUAAGCAAUACAAUAGAUUUGUAGCAUUGAUUAGUAUAAAAAUGAGAAGAGAAAUAUAAAAAAAAAAAACAGAUAUUUUAUUCUUUGAAAAAGACAAAAACAACCUCCAUUAAAAAUAAAAUAGUAAAAUAUCGCUACUAUAUUAUGCUAUCUAAAGUUUGUCAUAAAAAUUAUCCUAUAUUAUAAUUUAUUAGUAUAAUAAUAAAUCUCAUGAAAUAAAGUGAAAAAUUAUUUACUUUUUCAUUGUGCUGUAAAAAAGUACUCCAUGUUAAUCAAUGUAUAAAGCAUUUAAAAGAAAGGGGCAUAAUUGGAAAUAUGCAAUAAAUAGGUUGCUCUAUUGGACUUUCAGGAUUGAAAAAACUGUCGGUACCAAAAAUUAAUUCGAACUUGAAUUAUUUCUUUUAACGCAACUUUAGAUGGCUCCUUGUGACUUUAAUUAAUAAUAUCAAACAUUUAUCUUGUAAAACAAGGUAGGACCUACCAAUAUGUCACUUAGUCAUGGAUUUCUAGACUAAUUCACAUUUUUAGAAUCGAAUUCAAGAUUGUCGACAUCACAAAGAGAAUUGACCCAAUAAAUAAAUAUCAAAAUACUUGAGCUAAAUAAAUAAGUGAGAUUUUGCAAACAAGGUAGGUCCUACCAAAGUUCUAUAAAUAGUAACCCUCAAUGUGUUAUAAACCGCAUCACAAACUAAAAUAGUAGCAUUAUUCAUAUUAUACAUUAAUUUCUCCUUUCAUUUACUUAUUGCAUAUUGAUCCUUUUUAUCUUGAUAUAUAUCAUGGGUUCUUUUGUUUUCAUUGAUGAACAUGUCUCAACUGUGGCUCCAGCUAAACUUUACAAAGCACUUGCAAAAGAUGCUGAUGAAAUCAUCCCAAAGGUGAUUCCAGCUGCUCAGAGUGUUGAAAUUGUUGAAGGAAAUGGAGGACCUGGCACCAUUAAGAAGUUAUCCAUGUCUGAAGGUAAUUGAUUAAGAUUAUAUAACAUUUACACAGUUGAAUUUUUGGGACUAGAGUUGAUUGUUGGUAUAUUGAAAUGAGAUUCAACAAUCAAGUAAUUAACGAUAUCCAGUUACGUUCAGAUUGAUCAAUGACUUAAACAAUUUUUAGUCAAACUUUAUUUAAAUUUGAGGGAACAAAACUUAUAUAAAUUAUGAUGGUUUAAUUGUAGGUGGUAAAACCGACUUUGUGCUACACAAAUUAGAAGCAAUGGAUGAGGCAAACUUGGGAUACAACUAUAGCAUAGUAGGAGGAACAGGAUUGGAUGAAAGUUUAGAGAAAGUUGAAUUUGAGACAAAUAUUGUGGCUGGAUCUGAUGGUGGAUCCAUUGUUAAGAUUUCAGUGAAAUAUCACACCAAAGGUGAUGCAGUUCUAUCUGAAGCUGUACGUGAGGAAACUAAGGCCAAAGGAACUGGACUUAUCAAGGCCAUUGAGGGUUAUGUUUUGGCAAACCCUAAUUACUAGCAAAUUAAACAUUUGCUUUAAUAAUAAUUAAAGACUAUGAUAUGGUUGAAUGUGUGUUGGAUAUUUUGAGGUUUGAGUGUUGUUUUGAGUGUUUAAAAACAAAAACCAAUGUUGUGUUGGUGAUGAGGUUUUGCACCAUCUGUAUUAUGUAAUAAAUAAUGCAAAAGAAUUUUCUAGCACUUUCCGUUAUUUUUUUAGAGGAAUAGCACUUUACAUCAUUUUAAUUUAAUUUAGGAUAACAUCAAACUAAUAGUGCAUGUGGUUUUCAAUUGGUUGAAUUUUAAACUAACACUGUCUACGGUUCGAUUAUUUAAACAGUUUGGUUGAGUUUUGUCUUGAAUUGAUUUGAGCAAAUUAAAGCAAUUGAAUCAUGUUUUGAAAGUCUCAUCAUCUUGUCCAAUAUGAUUUUUAAAACAAAACCUACUGGUUUGAUAAACCGUUAAAAGGGAAUUAGAAUACAUCGAAACAACACAAAUUUUUAUGAUACUAAAAUUAAAGAAGAUAAAAUUGUGAAUACCUAUAAAAGUCUCACAACACCCUAAUUUCUUUUUUCUUUUUUAAAACACAUGUAAGUUAAUAACAUAAAAGGAUAAAAAUACCUAUAAAUACGACAAAUAAAGCAACUAAAAUACUAUAUGCAGAGCCUACCCAACAUUUUGGUAGGCCUAAAGUGAAUUUUUUAUUGAUGCUUUUUAAAGUAAAAUAUUAAACUUUGUUGAACCCAAGGUUUGAACCAAAGAUGCAGAGGAUUUGAGACCUCUUCUUGACGAACUAAAGUUAUGCAAGCAUUUAUAAUUAUUUUAUCAUAUUAUGUAUUUAUAUCUAAAGUUGAUAUGGUCAUUGCGUAUCCACGAGGAUUUGAGGCCUCUUUGUUGCUGCCUACCCACGAGGUUUAAUUUGCAAAAUCAUGGAGUCCAUUGUCUGUCACUUGUGUGGUUUGUAAUAAUGAUUUGAAAGAUCAAAUGCACAUGUUUAUGCACUGUAAUUUUGCUACUGAUUGUUGGAAAGAAGUAAAUCUUUGGGCAAGAUAAAGUCAUACAUAACGUCAAAUGAUAGUUUUUCAUCCAUUAUCUUUGAUAUUCUUGUAGCUAUUUAUUGAGUGUUUGGCAUGCACGUAAUGCUUGUUUAUGGGAGGAAAAACUUGUCGAUGCACAUACAUCUUGCGUCCUGGAAUUAGAUACAGUUCGAGAUUACGUGUGGUGUCAUCGUCUCAACGAUGUUGUGCAGUCUGCUACUCCAACUUAGUCCAAACUGCAGGCAGAUUGGAUCAAGUCUUACAUCGAUUGUGUUCUUUUUGAAGCUGAUGGAAAAUUUAGUGUUGGUAUCUGUUUUCGAGACCGCCUUAUCCAAGAACUAUUCCAUCCUAUAGCAAGAAGCUUAGAUAUUAUCUUAUAAAGCACAUUACAUAAUGAAAUUACCCUCCAUUCCUUCAUACUAGUUGGUUUUGUCACAUUUAGGAAUAAGGCAAAUAUUAUUAUCAUUCAAUUAAUGUGCUCGGAAAAUAACCUAUAUAUAACCACAUAUUCACAACUUCAAAAAUUUCAUCACUACAAAGAUUCCAAAACCUUGAAAAAAAAAACCCGGAUUAAAACCAUGAAGACUCGAUGACUUAUUUGAAUGCAUUUGAAAUAACGUAAGUUUCAGCUCCUCUUUAGUAAACGGUGCUAAAAUAAGGUUGUUGUUUGCAUCGGUUAUCUUUGGUUGAAGGUGACAACUAGGCUACCCAUGAAAGAAUGAUGGGUAAUUUACCCUAACCAAUACACAUUAGCCACAUAAGCACAUAUUCAUGAACUAUCUUGACCCCACAAAUAAAUUGUUCAUUUUCAUUGGUUGGUAGGUAAAUUACCCACCAUUCUUCAAAAGUAAUUUAAAAAGAACCUUGAUGGAAUCAUACCAAUCAUUAAAAUUUUCAAUAUCACAAUCAUUUACCGCCUCCUUAAACCCAAGAUAAAUCCAAUUAGGAUGGGAAUGUUGGCCUCGAAUAUUCUCUUGAGAUAAAAUAUCAUUAAAAUUUCUUAUGAUACACCAAGGCAUAUGAGACAUGUCCCUCAACUCUCUGAGACAUGUCCCUCAACUCUCUGAGCAUAUUCCAAGAAUCUCUUCUUCGACCUCCUUUUGGGUAACCAUAAAAAUCAGUUAACAUUGAUUCUCUUUUUAUUGUAUCUUCCACAAUUAAAUUGAUAUUGUUUAUAGAGUAAUUAAGAAUUUUACACAAGCUAUUAACUUUUCAUAUCACUGCUAUCUAGGGGUGGGAUUAGGUCGAGUCGGGCCAAACUUUACUUAAAUAGGUCAGAUCUAAUUUAAAAAGUUAAAGCCUAGGCGACCUAUUAGCUUGUCAAAGACUUUAUUUUAAGUCUAAGCUUUUUAAAAGUCUAGCCUAAUAUUGUCAAAAAGCCUAGUUUAUGCUAAGAAUUUUAAAUAGAAUAUCUGUUCUAUUUAUAAAAAGGCUAAUAAACAUAUAUUUCUUAGAAGAUUAAUAUGCCAAUAAAAUUUUGUAGAGCUUGUAUAUCAAUUUUGUUUCACUCUGUAAGCAUAUAUUGCAUGUAAAUCGAAUAUAAUUUGGUAAGGCCUCUACAUCAAUUGUAUAGAGGCUAUUAGCCAUAUAUGGGCCGAAAAUUUAUUAAUACAAUGGAGGAGUAUAUAUAUAUAUAUAUAUAUAUAUAUAUAUAUAUAUAUAUGAGGAGGGAUAUUUUGACUUCAAGAGUAAGUUUAUAGACUUAUUCCAAAUCUCCACCUUUCAUCUUAUUUUAAUCUAAUAGUUUAAAUGUGAGUUUUAAUUGUUAAUCAUGUGACCAUUUUUUUGGAUCUCAUUCUUAUAAAUAUUUUCUCCAUUUAAUCUCCCUUAUUAAUUAAUGUAAUAAAUACCUCCCCAAUUUUAUUUUAUUUUUUGGCGCACCUUUGCCAAUUCAAAAAGUGUUUUUUAAUCUUUUUCUCCAACAUUAGAGCAAGGUUGCAGUUUGAAAUAUAAAUUAAAAUGUAAGCUUUCCACUCUCACCUCUUGAACCUAUGGAUGAGAAGAUUUUUUUUAUUGAAAUGUAAAUCAAAAAGGAAAGAAAUGAGAUUGAGAGCCAUCAUGUAGAAUUGAGGUUGGAGUGAAACGGAGAGCCAUCACUCUAUAUCCUAUUGUGAUUUAUAUGAUUAUCCAAUCAAAGAAAUUGGGUGUAUACAAAAUCAAUUGGGUGAGUUAGGGUACAAAGCAUUAGGAGGAAAUUUUGUUGUUUUCUGAGAGUUAAAAUAAAUAAAAAAGUAAUUAAGGGAUAAAUGAAAUUUGUUUUAUGAGAAUAAAAUAAAAAAACUUAAAAGUGUGUUUAUGAGAGAAAGGAAAUUUGAUUUAUGAGAAUUAAUUAAGGGAGAAUAAUUGGAGAAGGUAUUUAGAUCCACAAAGAUGGUCAUAUGAUUAACAAUUAAAACCCACAUUUAAGCCAUUAGAUUAAAAUAAGAUGAAAGGUGGAGAUUUGGAGUAAGUCUAUAAACUUACUCUUGGAGUCAAAAUAUCCUCUCUCUCUCUCUCUCUCUCUCUCUCUCUCUCUCUCUCUCUCUCUCUCUCUCUCUCUCUGUAUAUAUAUAUAUAUAUGAGAUAUGAGAUAGAAUCCGUUGACACUUUAUAUUGACACCAAAUCAUAUCCCUUGAUUUCAUUUGAUCCAAUAGCUCCUAUUAAUUCACUUAACCUUGUACCUAUGUGUGAUGCACUGAACCACACCGUCGUCUUCAUUCUCACGUUAUACGUACGCCGUCUGCUAUCUGCAGUUUUCGUUCAUCUCUUCUCCCCUUGCACACCUUCACAAAUGCUUCAUCUAUAUUAUGUGUUGCUCCUAUCGAAAUUAAAACCCACUAUUCAAUUAGUGGUGGAUAUGAGUUAAAACCUUGUACGCUAAUUCUUCAAAUGGAUCCUCUAAGAUUAAUUCCUCAAAUUUUUUGAUUAGAUUUAUGAAAUCAAUAAUAAUUGGAUGACGUUAGAAAACCGAUGGACAUUAUUUAUUGAUUUGCUUCAAUUUGUGCAAUUUUAGGUGAGAAAAAGAAAUUGCAUAUCAGAAUGCAUAAUAUAAAAUAAAAAAUUGUGGGUUUGGUAAAAUGAAAAACUAUGUAAAUUAAAAUGAAAACCAAGAGUUGUUUCCUUUGUUUGGGUAUGGACAAGGAAGUAGCCAAGAUACAAGAGACAACAUUUUUCCAUUGUUGUUCCUGUAUACUUUGUUCAGCAAGAUUGAAAAGGAACAAAAAGAAAAUAAGAGUGCACAUUACAGUGAAAAAGGCCUAUGUUAGUUGAUUUAGUAAAUAAUUAUAAGCCUGUUACAGUGAAAAAGGCCUAUGUAAGUUGAUUUACUUUUUUUAUUCUGAUCUAUUUAAAUUAAUGGUUUUUUUAAAAAGCUUGAAUCUGACUUAUUUACUAAACAAGCUAAACCGGUCUGGGUUUUAAGUAAGUCGAGUUAUAAGCCCCUAACAAACGGUCUGGCUUAUUUUAGGAUUUAGGGUUUACCCAAAUGAUCCCUCCACUUCUCCCUUCAACAUAUAUAGCACAACAAGAAUCAAAACCAAACCUAACUCGUAAGAAUUCUAUAGUCAUUGCUUUUGCCAACGUCUCGUACAAAUAAAGAAUAUCAAGAUUUUAUUUUUGGUUAAUAAAAAGUAGUAAUGCUAAAGGAAGAGACAACCCCAAAAAAAUUAGCUCUAAUAUUUAAUGUAAUACUACUAUGCAUGUAGUAGGAAUAAAUGGGAAACGUAUGCUCUUUUUUUUUUUUUUUGUUACCUGGGAAACGUAUGUUUGAUUGUUUAUUGAAUAGUAGAAAAUUGUUGUAAAGGAAUUCUUUUUUCGACGUUAUAAAGGACUCUCUUUAUGCAUCUCCAAUAAACACUAUCUAUACUUUGUAAAAAGAAUACAAAAAUAAAUGUGAGCAUUGAUAGGGAUAUGAUAGCAUCUAGGAAUCGGGUUCCACCUUAGUUUCUUCUCCUUUAUCCAUUACUAACAUAUGAUUUAUGGUCAAUUUUCAACCUCAAAGAGCAUUCCUUUAAUAAAUAGUUUCCCGUUUUUUUUUUUAUUAUUUAAAUAAUCGAUUUUCACAUCUAUUUAGUUUAUUUCUCUAAUUUUUUCAUCAUCUUAGUGCGACGUUAUUUUGUUUGUCGUCUUUGUGUGACAUUGUUUAUCUUUAUUGUCUUGUUUAGAUGUUUGUUUCAUUCAUAUUGUCAUAUCAAGUUUGAUGCAGUGCAUGUUCAAUCAAUGAUUUAAAAAUUGUCAACGUUGUUGUGAGUUUGUUCGUGGAUUCAUCAAUUUUGUUUUUAGCAAAUUCAUAUUGUAUCGGUGUACUCUAUCAAUUUGAAUGAAUAAUAUCAUUUAUUACUAAAAAAAAGUACCGGGUACAAACUUUAAAUUUUCCGUUUAGUUAUCUUAAAGUGAAUUUUUAGCCACUAAAUUAUUUUAUUAAAAAAAAUCACUAUAUAUAAUGAUUAAAAUUAUAAGCGUAAUUUCAGGAGUGAACAUAGACCUUUAUUCAAAAGGGAAUGAACAUAGACGUAUAAUUAAAGGAGAACGAUAUUUCAUUGUCAUUAAUUUGUUUAUUGUCACUACGUGAAUAUUUUCUAAUUAUUUCGUGGGUGACUGCGACUGAGUCUAUUCAACAAAAAACAAAAAUCUACCGACUAAGUCUUCUUAUAAUUCCAAGACAUCGACUUUGAAUUUUUGAUACAACAAUGACCCAAUCUCACCCAAUCUUAAGAGUACUAUCAUAAUUCAUACAAAAUAGGUCAUAUUUUUCGGUCCUUAAAUAGGUCAUAUUAUAUUUUUCGGUCCUUAAAAAAAAUUGAUAUUUGAUUUUUUAAAAUUAAAUUAACAAGGGUAAAAUUGAGAUAAAAAGUGAUAAACUGUAAGUUAUAAGAUAUUUGAAGCAGCUUAAGAAAAAUGGUAUAAGCUCGAAAAAGAAAGUUAUAACUCGUGAGAAAACUUGUUUGCUAAAAAAAUAAAAAAUAAACUCGUGAGAAAAAAAAUUGUUAACAGACAUGUUUUAUCUUAGUCAUAUGAGAUCAUAAAUUAUAAAUUAUUUGUUAUAAGUGACAUUAACCCAAGAACAAUUUCGUAAUAGUGUAUAUAAAAUAAAAUCAUUAAUUAAUAUGGUAAUUCAGAAUAUUUUGAUUGAUUUUGGAUGUAAAACUGUUUUGGACCGUUAAUCUACCACUAUUAAACUCUUAAUACAUUACCAAUUUUUGUUAAUAUGCAAUUGCAUAAUAAAUUAUUUGUGAUUAAGAUAUCAACUGUUAAUUUCUCAAUUUACUGAUUACACGCUUUAGAAGAAUAAGUAAAUUAGCAUUUUAGUUCUCGGAAUAAUAAAGGACAAAUUAUUUAUUCACUAAAAUUUGUGAAAUAAUAAUUAAUCAAUUAAAUAAAAUAAUACUAUCAAUUAAUUCAGUUCCUCAUAUCUUAUGAAAAAUAAAUCAUCAACAUUUAUAAAAGAUUUGCAUGUUGACUUUUUUAAUUUGUAAAGUUCUAACAUAAAUAACGUGGUAAUUUGAAGUUCGAUAUAAUGUUAAGUGAAGUAUGAUAAAUGAUUGUUUUAAGUCAUGAUUCGAACUCAGUUUUUUUCGAACAAUUUAUCUUAAACAAAAGUUAAGUGAGCACUUCAGCUCAACCGCUCGACUGAAUUAUAUAUUAAUUUAUGUUUUUUAUACAAAAAUAAACGAUAUUCAUUCAUUUAAAUUGAUAUAGUACAUCGAUACAAUACGAAUUUAAAAUUGCUAAAAACAAAAAAGGAUGAAUCUACGAACAAACUCAGAGUAUCCAUGUUAAUAGCAUAAAACGGUAGAGUAUAUAUGCCUACAAAUAUACCUAUCAAGCCACUGAAAUACUCAUGUUUCGGAUCUGCAACGUUGACAAUGCAAAAGUCAUUGAUUGAAUCUGCAUUUGAUCAAAGCUAAUCUUUCAACCUGAAUCAAAUAAAAACCGCAUUAAGACAUGAAUAAAAAACACACCGCACAAAGACGAGAAAUCAAAAUAAAUAAAGUUGUGCUAGAUGACGAAUUCACAAAACCAACAAAAGAAAGGUGAAAAUAUGUGAAAAAUUACUUAUUUAACUAAAAGAGAAAGAGAAACAAUUCAUAGGGGUGAUUUCGUGUCAAAAUUGAUAGUAAGUCACACCUUUUUGGUAGAUGAAGAAGAAAAAAAGUCGUGUGACUAGGGUUUAGGAAAGGAAAAGUGAGAGAAUUUCUACCUUAUAUAAUUGAUUUUUUUAUGUUUUAAAACCAAGACAUUUUCUACACGCGACUACGACAACUAAUCUCUCAAUGUAAACGAAAUUCAUCGUAGAAGUUGUCAUCUCUCAAUAUAUAUUAUCUAUACACAAUGAUCAACAGAUUAAAAUAAUGACCACAUAGCCGAGAGACUCAAAUAAAUAUUCAUCAAUUUUGUUACACCAUAUUGGUAUAUAACUUUCAACUAUGUGGUGUUAAAGUCUGAAAACACGACUAAUUAACUAAUACACUUUAAAGUACUAAAGUAUUACUAUUUAACGAAUUUUAGGACCCACCAUGACACCAUUGCAAUAAUUUCAAUUGGAAAAAUAUUUAGCACCGUUUGGUCAGACUUUUUUCGGUCUAAAAAUUAUUUUAAAACAAAGUUAAAAUAAAACUCUUUAAGGAAAAAGUUAAAGUUGUUUGGUUUCUUUAUUUUUUUUAGUUUUUUUUUGAACAAGCCAAAAUGGAAUUAUAUAAACAAAAAGGCAGUCCCAAACGCACAAGGUGUGCCCUAGCGACUACCUCCAAAACCAAGAGUUACAAGAAUUACAACCAAGCCACAACAGAAAGACAUUAGCCAAUACCCAAACAAACAAGAGGGUUUGACCACCACUGCUGAGUUCCAAAAACAAAGGUAGCUUUUUUAACUUUAAGUCAACCUAAAGACAACAUCUUAAUCUUAUCUAAUAAACAAGGGAUGGGGGUAACAACAUGAUUAAACAGACGGUUAUUUCGUUCAUUCCACACAACCCAGGCACAAAGAAGCCAAAUAAGUUGCAUAAAAGAACGUCUAGCAACACCACCACCUGUCAAAUGAGUAAACUGUAAAAAAUGAUCGGAAAUAUUAUAUGUGUCCACCCCAUAGCAACCAAUCCAAUCACGCACCAGAUGCCACAGAGAGCCAAAAGUAUUACACAAUAAAAAGAGAUGUUGCACCGAUUCAGGAUGACCACAACCAGUAACACACGAGGACAUGUCAUGCGACAACACCCGUCUAGCAAUCAAAUUAGUCCUUGUUGGUAAACGAUCUCGGAUGAGCCUCCACACGAAAACGAACACCUUCAAGGGAACCUGUUUGUGCCACACCAAAUCCAAAGCAUAGUCCGCUACCUGAGGAACCUGAGAAGUCAACAAACUAUAUGCACCAUGAACAGUGUAACCACCAGAUGGGUCCGGAAGCCACACCCAGCUAUCUGAAACAUUAGGAUCCAAAGAAACAUCAAGAAUUAAAGCCCUGCACUCCUCUAGCAAGUCCUCAUCCCACUGCCAUAACCUACGUCUCCACCUCCACACAUCCCCCCACUGCUCCGAAUCAACAGAAAGCAAGUCCGCCACGAAUAUAGACUUAUUCUCUGUUAACUCAAACAACCGACUAAACCUCACACGAAGAGGAGCCUCCCCUAUCCACCUAUCGAACCAAAAUGAUGUAUCUGCCCCAUCACCAACUCUCCUCAACACCUGAUCCUCAAACCAGCCGCUACCACCAACACCAACCCUACCCCUAAGACGACUCACCUCCGACCACCAACAAGAAACUCUCCGGCCCCCAACCUGCCACCUAAUUCGCCAUAUCUGGCAACUAAAACCCUAUACCACAAAUCACCUCUAUCAACCAACAACCUCCAACACCAUUUCCCUAACAAUGCUAUAUUAAACUCCUUCAAUCUCCUCACCCCCAAACCGCCACACUCCUUUUUUAAACAAACAGUUUGCCAACUUAACCAAGAUAUUUUCCUAUUAUCCUCACUCCCCCCACUGCUCCGAAUCAACAGAAAGCAAGUCCGCCACGAAUAUAGACUUAUUCUCUGUUAACUCAAACAACCGACUAAACCUCACACGAAGAGGAGCCUCCCCUAUCCACCUAUCGAACCAAAAUGAUGUAUCUGCCCCAUCACCAACUCUCCUCAACACCUGAUCCUCAAACCAGCCGCUACCACCAACACCAACCCUACCCCUAAGACGACUCACCUCCGACCACCAACAAGAAACUCUCCGGCCCCCAACCUGCCACCUAAUUCGCCAUAUCUGGCAACUAAAACCCUAUACCACAAAUCACCUCUAUCAACCAACAACCUCCAACACCAUUUCCCUAACAAUGCUAUAUUAAACUCCUUCAAUCUCCUCACCCCCAAACCGCCACACUCCUUUUUUAAACAAACAGUUUGCCAACUUAACCAAGAUAUUUUCCUAUUAUCCUCACUCCCCCCCCCCCCCCAAAAAAAAAAAAAAUUAAUAAACAAAGAUUCAAUAGAGGAGAUUAUACCUGAUGGAGCUUUGAAGAAGGAAAGUGCAUAGACAGGCAAAGAGGUCAGGACAGAUUUGAGAAGAACCAAGCGACCACCAAAAGAUAGAAACCGACUAUUCCAACCUGACAGUCUAGAUUUAAUACGAUUCACAAUAGGUUCCCAGAAACACAAUCUUCGAGGAUUACCACCAAUAGGCAUACCCAGAUACAAGAAAGGAACGUUACCUACUUUACAACUCAACACGGAAGCAGCCUCAUGUAACCAAGACGACGCAAUAUUCACCCCAACAAGCAUACUCUUAUGAAAAUUCACUUUCAACCCCGACAUAGCCUCGAACAACACAAGGGCCGCCCUUAAAGCACGAACAUUAGCCCAACUUUUAGUUCCUAACAACAAAGUGUCAUCAGCAAAUUGGAGGUGAGAUACAACAACCGGAUUAACCACCCCAAUGCUAUAGCCAGAGAACAGUUGAGCCUCAACCAAAGAUUUCAUCACAACAUUAAGACCCUCCGCGGCCAACAAAAACAAAAAAGGAGACAAAGGGUCACCUUGUCUUAACCCUCUCAUCAACGGGAAUUCAUCAGUUGGACUUCCAUUAACUAAGACAGACGCUGUGGCAGUGCUAACACACUCUUUGAUCCAAUUCCUCCAACGGGAAUUCAUCAGUUGGAAUUCAUCUUUAAAAGUUGUUUGACAAAAUAUUGUAUACCAAAUUUUGUUAUAAGAAUAUCAUAUUUUUGGUGUCAUUUAAAAAGAUAAGAAUUUAUAUUAUAUGAUAUUAUAUUUGUUACAUUGUUGGUGUCAUUGAAAAAGAUAUGUUUAGUUUUUUAAUAAGAAAAAGAUAUGCAUAGUUUGUUACAACAUAAAUGUGUAAAGUAUAUAUAAGUAUAAUUUUUUAGGUAUCUAUACUAGUACUUUUAAUUAAAAUCAAAAUUUUAUAAAAAUAAUAAUUGUACGCAUUGCGCAACACUGAAAAAAUUAUACCCAUUAGCAUAACAAAAAAAAACAGACAUACAGACAUAAAAUAUUACUCUAAACGCUAAUGUGUGUGUGUAUAUUUGUGAGGUUGAAAAAAGGGAAUAAAAAUAUUUGGUGUCAUUCAAUGACAGCAUGAAUAAAAAUAUUUGUGAGGUUGUGAUAAUUAAACGAUAUUAAAAUUAAAUAUAUAAGUGAUAAAAAGAUAAUAAAACUCCUUCAAAAAUAGAUAAUUAAAUUGAUCCUCCUUUAAAAAAAAAUUAUAUGGACCGGUUCAAAAAAAAUUAAAUUGAAGAAAAAACAAAUUGAAAUAUAAUAUUAAAAAAUAAAAUAUAAGGUUGCUGCGUGAGUUGAAGAGGAGUGCUUGUGAAAUAAAUUACAAAGAAGUAGUUUUUUGAAGUAGCAUUCAACAACUUUUGGUUAAAGCUCAUUCCAUUCAAAUUUUAUGCAUUCUAAAAAAAGUACUUUUUUUCGAAGGUAUUUUAUUGAUAUUGUGUUUGGCGUAGCUUCUCCUUAAAAAUGUAGAAAAGUUGAAGAAAAAAAAAAAGUCGGGUCAAACAGUACUUUAAUAUACUCAAUUAAAGUUACUAAUGUACUGGCAAGUAACUUUUAGAGGAAGAUUUUCUUUUUUUAAGGAUUUUAGAGGAAGCUUAGCAACACACUUUUAAUAUACAUUUUUCUAGAAUUUUUUUUUAUUGAUUAAAAUUCAUAUAUAUCCUCAUAAAUCAUGUGGAUUUCAUAUAAUAUAAUAGAAGACACAAAUUUUAACCGACAAAUAGAGUGUAAAAAAUAGAGAAAUGAUAUUUGUACAACCACUUUGUGAUAAUUUUUGGACAAUUUUCUCUCUCAUACUCAUAUUAUAUUCUUACUCUCUUCUUUUUUCUCUCUCCAUUAUUUUUGACCAAUGAAAAGAGAGAAAAGAAAGAUUGUCAAAUAGGUUGUACCAAAUGGUUGUUCAAAUAGGUUGUACCAAAUGGUUGUUCAAAUAUCAUUUCUUUAAAAAAUAUAAGCAUUAAAGAGUUUGUUGUUAACAUUAUUUUAAUUUUUUUUAUGUAAUCCACACUUUGAGUCAUGGAGUGCUUUACUAAUUCAUUUUGUUUUUCGCAACCCAAUUCAAGAUUGUCUAGAAACAAAGAGGACUGACCUAAUAAAUAAAUAUUAAAAUAAGCUACUUGAGCUAAACAAUGAGAUUUCCAAACAAGGUAGGUCCUACUCAAGUUCUAUAAAUAGCAUCCCUCACCAUGUCAUAAACCGCAUCACAAGUUAUAUACUAGUUGUAUUUUUAUUAUAUACUUCUCCUUUCAUUUUCUUCUUGCAUAUUAAUCUUCUUUAUCUUAAUAUAUAUCAUGGGUGUUUUUACUUUCAAUGAUGAACAUGUCUCAACCGUGGCUCCAGCUAAACUAUACAAAGCUCUUGCAAAAGAUGCUGAUGAAAUCGUCCCAAAGGUGAUUUCUGCUGCCCAAAGUGUUGAAAUUGUUGAAGGAAAUGGAGGACCAGGAACCAUUAAGAAGUUAUCCAUUGUUGAAGGUAAUUAAGAGCAUAUACGACGUACAAAUAUAUAAUACUUAAGAUCAAAUGAUACAUAGUGUUCACGUAAAAUUGUUUUACACCGACAACCAAUCAAAUUUAUCAGUACAACAAAGAAUUGUGUAACUACCUUUUAUUUAAAAAUUGAUAAAUAUGAUGUGACAAAUUGAAGAGUUGUGAUUGAUUAAAUGAUUCACAAAUAACUAAGUUAAAUUCAUUAUACCAAAUAAAAGUAAGUUAAAUUCAUUAUACCCAAAAAAAAAAAGUAAGUUAAAUUCAAGUGUAUCAAAAAAAGUCAUUCAAAUCUAUUUGGAUAGUUAUGGUAGUAGCCAUUUAUGUUAUACUUUUAUUUUUAAAAUAGAAUCUUGAGAAAUGAAGGAGACAAUACAUAAGCUCGUUCCAGGAGUAUGUCUAACAAUUAUGGACCUUCAAAAACAUGAUUCAUGUGAUUAACGAUACUCGGUAAAGUUCAAAUCGAUCUUUAAAUGAAAGAGUUUUUAGUUAAACUUUACUUGUAUCGAAAAAAGAAUUAUAUAAAUAAUUAUAAUGGUUGUAUUGCAGAUGGCAAAACCAACUUUGUGCUACACAAAUUAGAUGCAGUAGAUGAGGCAAACUUUGGAUACAACUAUAGCUUAGUAGGAGGAACAGGAUUGGAUGAAAGUCUAGAGAAAGUUGAAUUCGAGACAAAAAUUGUGGCUGGCUCUGAUGGUGGAUCCAUUGCUAAGAUUACAGUUAAAUAUCACACCAAAGGUGAUGCAACUCUAUCUGAUGCAGUGCGUGAUGAGACUAAGGCCAGAGGAACUGGACUUAUCAAGGCCAUUGAGGGUUACGUUUUGGCAAAUCCUGAUUAUUAAAUGAAUCUACACUUGGUUUAAUUUUGGUUGUAUCGUGUCAUGGGAAUAAUAAUUGAAGUUUAAGAUAUGGUUGUUUAAUUACAU
Molecule: long non-coding RNA, 24125 nt
Filed under: Medicago truncatula (barrel medic)
Lineage: Eukaryota; Viridiplantae; Streptophyta; Magnoliopsida; Fabales; Fabaceae
Description: long non-coding RNA (MTRU_LNC008229)
Source: RNAcentral